ACCAUAGUUCAGUGGCAGAGUAUCUGCUUUGCAUGCAGGAGGUCCCAGGUUCAAUCUCCAGGUAGGGGUG
Molecule: non-coding RNA, 70 nt
Organism: Podarcis lilfordi (Lilford's wall lizard)
Lineage: Eukaryota; Metazoa; Chordata; Lepidosauria; Squamata; Lacertidae
Source: the annotation of a GenBank genome assembly